RNAcentral lists this ribosomal RNA (433 nucleotides) under uncultured bacterium. Its description in RNAcentral is "partial 16S ribosomal RNA". It matches the Rfam family "Bacterial small subunit ribosomal RNA", at positions 29 to 507 of the family's 1533-position model. The record is from RNAcentral.
AACGAACGCUGGCGGCAUGCCUAACACAUGCAAGUCGAACGAGACCUUCGGGUCUAGUGGCGCACGGGUGCGUAACGCGUGGGAACCUGCCCUUAGGUUCGGAAUAACUCCCCGAAAGGGGUCCUAAUACCGGAUAAUGUCUUCGGACCAAAGAUUUAUCGCCUUUGGAUGGGCCCGCGUUGGAUUAGCUAGUUGGUAGGGUAAAAGCCUACCAAGGCGACGAUCCAUAGCUGGUCUGAGAGGAUGAUCAGCCACACUGGGACUGAGACACGGCCCAGACUCCUACGGGAGGCAGCAGUGGGGAAUAUUGGACAAUGGGCGAAAGCCUGAUCCAGCAAUGCCGCGUGAGUGAUGAAGGCCUUAGGGUUGUAAAGCUCUUUUACCCGGGAUGAUAAUGACAGUACCGGGGGAAUAAGCUCCGGCUAACUCCGUG